GAUGAACGCUGGCGGCGUGCCUAAUACAUGCAAGUCGAGCGAACAGAUAAGGAGCUUGCUCCUUUGAAGUUAGCGGCGGACGGGUGAGUAACACGUGGGUAACCUACCUAUAAGACUGGGAUAACUUCGGGAAACCGGAGCUAAUACCGGAUAACAUUUAGAACCGCAUGGUUCUAAAGUGAAAGAUGGUUUUGCUAUCACUUAUAGAUGGACCCGCGCCGUAUUAGCUAGUUGGUAAGGUAACGGCUUACCAAGGCGACGAUACGUAGCCGACCUGAGAGGGUGAUCGGCCACACUGGAACUGAGACACGGUCCAGACUCCUACGGGAGGCAGCAGUAGGGAAUCUUCCGCAAUGGGCGAAAGCCUGACGGAGCAACGCCGCGUGAGUGAUGAAGGGUUUCGGCUCGUAAAACUCUGUUAUUAGGGAAGAACAAAUGUGUAAGUAACUGUGCACAUCUUGACGGUACCUAAUCAGAAAGCCACGGCUAACUACGUGCCAGCAGCCGCGGUAAUACGU
Molecule: ribosomal RNA, 518 nt
Filed under: uncultured bacterium
Lineage: Bacteria
Description: bacterial SSU rRNA
Rfam family: Bacterial small subunit ribosomal RNA
Source: RNAcentral